UCCCAGUUAGUACAAUGGUUCAGUAUAGGGCACUCUCAUAAGUCGGCGAUCUCCGGAUUGCUAAGUGCUGCUCAGAUCAGGGUUCGAUUCCCUGGCCGGGAA
Ustilago trichophora is the source of this 102-nucleotide non-coding RNA. The record is from the annotation of a GenBank genome assembly. Lineage: Eukaryota; Fungi; Basidiomycota; Ustilaginomycetes; Ustilaginales; Ustilaginaceae.